RNAcentral lists this transfer RNA (73 nucleotides) under Hymenobacter aranciens. RNAcentral describes it as "tRNA-Cys". It matches the Rfam family "tRNA". From Rfam's summary of the family: Transfer RNA (tRNA) molecules are approximately 80 nucleotides in length. Their secondary structure includes four short double-helical elements and three loops (D, anti-codon, and T loops). Lineage: Bacteria; Pseudomonadati; Bacteroidota; Cytophagia; Cytophagales; Hymenobacteraceae. The record is from RNAcentral.
UAAACUGUAGCUCAAAUGGAAGAGCAUCUGAAUGCAAAUCAGAAGGUUGUCAGUUCGAUUCUGGCCAGUUUAC